CCUACGGGGGGCAGCAGUGAGGAAUAUUGGUCAAUGGGCGCGAGCCUGAACCAGCCAAGUAGCGUGAAGGAUGACUGCCCUACGGGUUGUAAACUUCUUUUAUAAAGGAAUAAAGUGAUGCACGUGUGCCUUUCUGUAGGUACUUUAUGAAUAAGGAUCGGCUAACUCCGUGCCAGCAGCCGCGGUAAUACGGAGGAUCCGAGCGUUAUCCGGAUUUAUUGGGUUUAAAGGGAGCGUAGAUGGGUCGUUAAGUCAGUUGUGAAAGUUUGCGGCUUAACCGUGAAAUUGCAAUUGAUACUGGCAGCCUUGAGUCCAGUUGAGGUAGGCGGAAUUCGUGGUGUAGCGGUGAAAGGAUUGGAUACCACGAAGAACUCCGAUUGCGAAGGCAGCCUACUAAACUGCAACUGACAUUGAUGAUCGAAGGUGUGGGUAUCAAAAAGGAUUAGAUACCUAGUAGUC
This 459-nucleotide ribosomal RNA is filed under the name uncultured bacterium. Its description in RNAcentral is "partial 16S ribosomal RNA". It matches the Rfam family "Bacterial small subunit ribosomal RNA", at positions 338 to 795 of the family's 1533-position model. The record is from RNAcentral.